AUACAGAGGGUGCAAGCGUUAAUCGGAAUUACUGGGCGUAAAGGGCGCGUAGGUGGUUGUUUAAGUUAGCUGUGAAAUACACGGGCUCAACCGGUGUAGGUCAGCUAAAACUGGGCAACUAGAGUUUAGGAGAGGGAAGUGGAAUUUCCGGUGUAGCGGUGAAAUGCGUAGAUAUCGGGAAGAAGGCCGGUGGCGAAGGCGGCGCUCUGGACCGAUACUGACGCUGAGGCGCGAAAGCUAGGGGAGCAAACGGGAUUAGAAACCCCGGUAGUCC
RNAcentral lists this ribosomal RNA (274 nucleotides) under uncultured bacterium. Its description in RNAcentral is "partial 16S ribosomal RNA". It matches the Rfam family "Bacterial small subunit ribosomal RNA", at positions 523 to 796 of the family's 1533-position model. The record is from RNAcentral.